This 466-nucleotide ribosomal RNA is filed under the name uncultured bacterium. RNAcentral's name for it is "partial 16S ribosomal RNA". It matches the Rfam family "Bacterial small subunit ribosomal RNA", at positions 339 to 795 of the family's 1533-position model. The record is from RNAcentral.
CUACGGGACGCUGCAGUGGGGAAUAUUGGACAAUGGGGGAAACCCUGAUCCAGCAAUGCCGCGUGUGUGAAGAAGGCCUGCGGGUUGUAAAGCACUUUCGGUUGGGAGGACUGCUUCUAGCACUAAUAUUGUUGGAAGUUGACGUUACCUUCAGAAGAAGCACCGGGUAACUCCGUGCCGGCGGCCGCGGUAAAUACGGAGGGUGCAAGCGUUAAUCGGAAUUACUGGGCGUAAAGCGCGCGUAGGCGGCUAGAUCAGUCGGGUGUGAAAGCCCCGGGCUUAACCUGGGAACUGCAUCCGAGAAUGUCUAGCUUGAGUACAGGAGAGGAGAGUGGAAUUCCACAUGUAGCGGUGAAAUGCGUAGAUAUGUGGAGGAACACCAAUGGCGAAGGCAGCUCUCUGGCCUGAUACUGACGCUGAGGUGCGAAAGCGUGGGGAGCAAACAGGAUUAGAUACCCCUGUAGUC